GAUGAACGCUAGCGGCAGGCUUAAUACAUGCAAGUCGUGGGGCAGCAUGGGGUAGCAAUACUCUGAUGGCGACCGGCAAACGGGUGCGGAACACGUACGCAACCUUCCCAAAACUGGUGAAUAGCCCUCCGAAAGGAGGAUUAAUACACCGUAACAUAACGAAGUGGCAUCACUUUGUUAUUAUAGCUCCGGCGGUUUUGGAUGGGCGUGCGCCUGAUUAGGUAGUUGGCGGGGUAACGGCCCACCAAGCCUACGAUCAGUAACUGGUGUGAGAGCACGACCAGUCACACGGGCACUGAGACACGGGCCCGACUCCUACGGGAGGCAGCAGUAAGGAAUAUUGGUCAAUGGACGCAAGUCUGAACCAGCCAUGCCGCGUGAAGGAUGACGGCCCUCUGGGUUGUAAACUUCUUUUAUCUGGGACGAAAAAGGGCUUUCUAGCUCACUUGACGGUACCAGAGGAAUAAGCACCGGCUAACUCCGUG
RNAcentral lists this ribosomal RNA (485 nucleotides) under uncultured bacterium. RNAcentral's name for it is "bacterial SSU rRNA". It matches the Rfam family "Bacterial small subunit ribosomal RNA", at positions 28 to 507 of the family's 1533-position model. The record is from RNAcentral.